GAGUGAUCAAGUGUCUUAAGGGCAUUUGGUGGAUGCCUUGGCAUGCACAGGCGAUGAAGGACGUGAUACGCUGCGAUAAGCGUCGGGGAGGUGCGAAUACCCUUUG
Molecule: ribosomal RNA, 106 nt
Filed under: Brucella cytisi
Lineage: Bacteria; Pseudomonadati; Pseudomonadota; Alphaproteobacteria; Hyphomicrobiales; Brucellaceae
Description: Ochrobactrum cytisi partial 23S ribosomal RNA
Rfam family: Bacterial large subunit ribosomal RNA
Source: RNAcentral